CCUCACGUCAGCCCAGAUUCCCAUAAGGUGGGUCUGAUUCCAGUGAGCAAACACAAGAGGGAUGACAGAAGCAGGUGUCACCCUCUGACAACCAGAGGGCAGCAACUGCUUCAGGGUGGGGCCGUCCAGGGUCUAUAGGCCCGCGGGGGAAGGCAGCGGGGGCGUGUUCACAGGUGCCUCCAGGCUCAGAGGAGCCUGCCCUCAGACGCUCCUUGAGUACACAGCCCCAGAGGGAGCUUCCAAGUGGACAGACAGCACAGACACGUGUUCCGGGCCAGCGUGAAGACAUCUGUUGGCUAGAGGUCUGAUUUUCUGUUUUUUUUUUUUUUUUUUUUUUUUCUGAGACGGAGUGUCGCUCGUUUCCCCAGUUGGAGCGCAAUGGCGCAACCUCAGCUCACUGCAACCUCCACCUCCUGGGUUCAAGCGAUUCUCCUGCCUCAG
Molecule: long non-coding RNA, 441 nt
Organism: Homo sapiens (human)
Lineage: Eukaryota; Metazoa; Chordata; Mammalia; Primates; Hominidae
Source: Ensembl